Molecule: long non-coding RNA, 275 nt
Filed under: Parus major (Great Tit)
Lineage: Eukaryota; Metazoa; Chordata; Aves; Passeriformes; Paridae
Description: lncRNA (ENSPMJG00000013818.1)
Source: RNAcentral
GGAUCCUUAGCUCCUGGAAGCAAUAGAAGUGGAACAUAUCAAAGGAAAACUGUUACAUUUUACAAGGUGUUUCCUCCCCGUCUUCAGCCAAAUCCAGAUCUUUGAUUAAUGCACAGCUCCCAUCAAGACAUCAAGGAAUGGCAACCACCAUGUUUUUCUUCUAGUUUUUUGCAAGCACAAGGUUAUACACUGGAAGACUACUUUUGAGGAGGAGGUCAAAUCUGAAAAGGAAGAACAUCACCAAAGUGUAUUGUAGUCAGAAGGUGAUUGAUAGA